UUCCUACGGGUGGCUGCAGUAAGGAAUAUUGGUCAAUGGACGCAAGUCUGAACCAGCCAUGCCGCGUGGAGGAUGAAGGUCCUCUGGAUUGUAAACUUCUUUUAUCUGGGACGAAACACUUCUUUUCUAAGAGGCCUGACGGUACCAGAUGAAUAAGCACCGGCUAACUCCGUGCCAGCAGCCGCGGUAAUACGGAGGGUGCAAGCGUUAUCCGGAUUCACUGGGUUUAAAGGGUGCGUAGGUGGGUAUGUAAGUCAGUGGUGAAAUCCCCGAGCUUAACUUGGGAACUGCCGUUGAUACUAUAUAUCUUGAAUGCCGUAGAGGUAAGCGGAAUAUGUCAUGUAGCGGUGAAAUGCUUAGAUAUGACAUAGAACACCAAUUGCGAAGGCAGCUUACUAUGCGGUUAUUGACACUGAGGCACGAAAGCGUGGGUAGCAAACAGGAUUAGAUACCCGUGUAGUC
RNAcentral lists this ribosomal RNA (462 nucleotides) under uncultured Chitinophagaceae bacterium. RNAcentral describes it as "bacterial SSU rRNA". It matches the Rfam family "Bacterial small subunit ribosomal RNA", at positions 336 to 795 of the family's 1533-position model. The record is from RNAcentral. Lineage: Bacteria; Pseudomonadati; Bacteroidota; Chitinophagia; Chitinophagales; Chitinophagaceae.